CCUGCACCCUGAAUAUGUUCAUGAGUAUGGAAUCAUGUCAAACUCAAACACAUAUUCAUAUCAAUUCUCAAUUAAUCAAUGAUGACUCCAAUGAAAAAAUAUUAGAAACACUUUUUAAUCUCUUUUCUGCUUUUGGCUAAAAGACUUUUCUCAAGUCAUCUAGGAUUGAGAAAAUAUAGGAUGCAAUCUCCUCUUACUAGGAG
RNAcentral lists this long non-coding RNA (203 nucleotides) under Elaeis guineensis (African oil palm). Its description in RNAcentral is "long non-coding RNA (EGUI_LNC074407)". Lineage: Eukaryota; Viridiplantae; Streptophyta; Magnoliopsida; Arecales; Arecaceae. The record is from RNAcentral.